Molecule: unclassified non-coding RNA, 165 nt
Filed under: uncultured Tolypocladium
Lineage: Eukaryota; Fungi; Ascomycota; Sordariomycetes; Hypocreales; Clavicipitaceae
Description: sequence contains ITS1
Source: RNAcentral
CCGAGUUUUCAACUCCCAAACCCCCUGUGAACAUACCUGAACGUUGCCUCGGCGGGACCGCCCCGGCGCCCUCUGCGGCCCGGAACCAGGCGCCCGCCGGAGGACCCCAAACUCUUGCUUGCAUCAGUGGCAUUCUCUGAGUCGAAAAAAAACAUAAAUGAAUCA